CACGCGGGUAGGGCCGAGGGGCUCGCCCUCCCUCACACCCGAAACGGGCGUAACGCGGGGGCCAGUAAUCCCUAGCCGCGCGUAGCUAUGGUGACCCGCCCCCGGGUAGGGCCGAUGAACCCCGCCCCAUGAGGCCGGCGGAAACGGUCGAGCGGCUGGAGGGCCGCUUCGAACCGUUUUAGCCGAGGAAACCUGGCCAGGCCCGGAAGGGAGCAACCUAUCCUCGGACGCCGGCGUUCAUGGGUCACCGGGGAUGAGGAACCCCCGGGACCAGCGGGCAUCAUGGCUAUGCGUAGGCUAGGGAGUCCGCGUG
RNAcentral lists this signal recognition particle RNA (313 nucleotides) under Fervidicoccus fontis. RNAcentral's name for it is "signal recognition particle sRNA". It matches the Rfam family "Archaeal signal recognition particle RNA". Lineage: Archaea; Thermoproteati; Thermoproteota; Thermoprotei; Fervidicoccales; Fervidicoccaceae. The record is from RNAcentral. RNAcentral also lists the same sequence under 1 other name.